Molecule: ribosomal RNA, 603 nt
Filed under: Suillus luteus
Lineage: Eukaryota; Fungi; Basidiomycota; Agaricomycetes; Boletales; Suillaceae
Description: eukaryotic LSU rRNA
Rfam family: 5.8S ribosomal RNA (bases 158-312)
Source: RNAcentral
AGGGGCAUGUGCACGCUCUCUUCCGGACCUUUCGCCGUAUGGGCGCGGGGCGACCCGCGUCUUCAUAUACCUCUUCGUGUAGAAAGUCUUUGAAUGUUUUACCAUCAUCGAGUCGCGACUUCUAGGAGACGCGAUUCUUUGAGAAAAAAGUUAUUACAACUUUCAGCAACGGAUCUCUUGGCUCUCGCAUCGAUGAAGAACGCAGCGAAUCGCGAUAUGUAAUGUGAAUUGCAGAUCUACAGUGAAUCAUCGAAUCUUUGAACGCACCUUGCGCUCCUCGGUGUUCCGAGGAGCAUGCCUGUUUGAGUGUCAGUAAAUUCUCAACCCCUCUCGAUUUGCUUCGAGCGGGUGCUUGGAUGUUGGGGGCUGCCGGAGACACUGGAUUCGUCCAGGACUCGGGCUCCUCUUAAAUGAAUCGGCUCGCGGUCGACUUUCGACUUUGCAUGACAAGGCCUUUGGCGUGAUAAUGAUCGCCGUUCGCCGAAGUGCAAGACAGAAUGGUCCCGUGCCUCUAAUGCGUCGACGCCUCUAGGGGCGUCUUCCUCAUUGACGUUUGACCUCAAAUCAGGUAGGACUACCCGCUGAACUUAAGCAUAUCAAUAA